ACGGCUCAGUAACACGUAUCUAACCUACCCUUAGGACGUGCACAACCCCGAGAAAUUGGGGCUAAUCCGCGAUAGAGGUAUUGUCCUGUAAUGGAAUUACGUCUAAGGGUAUUCCGUACAUGUUUGGUAUAUGCCUAAGGAUGGGGCUGCGGUCGAUCAGGCUGUUGGUGAGGUGAUGGCUGACCAAACCUUUGACCGGUACGGGCCAUGAGAGUGGUAGCCCGGAGAUGGACACUGAGACAAGGGUCCAGGCCCUACGGGGCGCAGCAGGCGCGAAACCUCCUCAAUGCACUUACGUGCGAAGGGGCUACCUCGAGUGCCACCUGAUGAAGGUGGCUUUUCCUAGGUCUAAAAAGCCUUGGGAAUAAGAGGGGGGCAAGACUGGUGUCAGCCGCCGCGGUAACACCAGCCCCUCGAGUGGUGGGGAUGAUUAUUGGGCCUAAAGCGUCCGUAGCCUGCCGUGUAAGUUUCCCGUUAAAUCCAGCGUCUUAAGCGUUGGACCGCGGGAAAUACUGUACGGCUAGAGAGUGGGAGAGGUCAGCGGUAUUCUGGGGGUAGGGGCGAAAUCCUUUGAUCCCCGGAGGACCACCAGUGGCGAAGGCUGCUGUCUAGAACACGUCUGACGGUCAGGGACGAAAGCUGGGGUAGCGAACCGGAUUAGAUACCCGGGUAGUCCCAGCCGUAAACGAUGCAUGCUAGGUGUUGGGUUGGCCACGAGCCACCCCAGUGCCGCAGGGAAGCCGUUAAGCAUGCCGCCUGGGAAGUACGAUCGCAAGGUUGAAACUUAAAGGAAUUGGCGGGGGAGCACCACCAGGCGUGAAGCCUGCGGUUUAAUUGGAUUCAACGCCGGG
This 851-nucleotide ribosomal RNA is filed under the name uncultured archaeon. Its description in RNAcentral is "bacterial SSU rRNA". It matches the Rfam family "Archaeal small subunit ribosomal RNA", at positions 85 to 922 of the family's 1478-position model. The record is from RNAcentral.